RNAcentral lists this ribosomal RNA (443 nucleotides) under uncultured bacterium. RNAcentral's name for it is "partial 16S ribosomal RNA". It matches the Rfam family "Bacterial small subunit ribosomal RNA", at positions 338 to 795 of the family's 1533-position model. The record is from RNAcentral.
CCUACGGGGGGCAGCAGUGAGGAAUAUUGGUCAAUGGCCGAGAGGCUGAACCAGCCAAGUCGCGUGAGGGAAGAAGGCUUUCGGGUUGUAAACUUCUUUUCUCAGGGACGAAGCAAGUGACGGUACCUGAGGAAUAAGCCACGGCUAACUACGUGCCAGCAGCCGCGGUAAUACGUAGGUGGCAAGCGUUACUCGGAAUCACUGGGCGUAAAGAGCGCGUAGGCGGGAUAGCAAGUCAGAUGUGAAAUCCUAUGGCUUAACCAUAGAACUGCAUUUGAAACUGUUAUUCUAGAGUAUGGGAGAGGUAGGUGGAAUUCUUGGUGUAGGGGUAAAAUCCGUAGAGAUCAAGAGGAAUACUCAUUGCGAAGGCGACCUGCUAGAACAUAACUGACGCUGAUGCGCGAAAGCGUGGGGAGCAAACAGGAUUAGAUACCCCAGUAGUC